RNAcentral lists this ribosomal RNA (193 nucleotides) under uncultured bacterium. Its description in RNAcentral is "partial 16S ribosomal RNA". It matches the Rfam family "Bacterial small subunit ribosomal RNA", at positions 338 to 524 of the family's 1533-position model. The record is from RNAcentral.
CCUACGGGAGGCAGCAGUGGGGAAUCUUGCGCAAUGGGCGAAAGCCUGACGCAGCGACGCCGCGUGCGGGAAGAAGGCCUUAGGGUUGUAAACCGCUUUCAGGAGGGACGAAGCCACUCGGGUGAACAGCCCAGAGGGUGACGGUACCUCCAGAAGAAGCCCCGGCUAACUACGUGCCAGCAGCCGCGGUAAU